Molecule: ribosomal RNA, 301 nt
Filed under: uncultured bacterium
Lineage: Bacteria
Description: partial 16S ribosomal RNA
Rfam family: Bacterial small subunit ribosomal RNA
Source: RNAcentral
CAGCAGCCGCGGUAAUACGUAGGGUGCAAGCGUUAAUCGGAAUUAUUGGGCGUAAAGAGCUCGUAGGCGGUUUGUCGCGUCUGCUGUGAAAACUGGAGGCUCAACCUCCAGCCUGCAGUGGGUACGGGCAGACUAGAGUGCGGUAGGGGAGAUUGGAAUUCCUGGUGUAGCGGUGGAAUGCGCAGAUAUCAGGAGGAACACCGAUGGCGAAGGCAGAUCUCUGGGCCGUAACUGACGCUGAGGCACGAAAGCUAGGGGAGCAAACAGGAUUAGAUACCCCUGUAGUCCCUGUCUCUUAUAC